UACGGAGGGUGCAAGCGUUAAUCGGAAUUACUGGGCGUAAAGCGCACGCAGGCGGUCUGUCAAGUCGGAUGUGAAAUCCCUGGGCUCAACCCAGGAACUGCACUCGAAACUACUUGUCUUGAGUGUCGGAGAGGAAAGCGGAAUUCCUGGUGUAGAGGUGAAAUUCGUAGAUAUCAGGAGGAACACCAGUGGCGAAGGCGGCUUUCUGGACGAUAACUGACGUGAGACGCGAAAGCGUGGGGAGCAAACAGG
RNAcentral lists this ribosomal RNA (252 nucleotides) under uncultured bacterium. Its description in RNAcentral is "partial 16S ribosomal RNA". It matches the Rfam family "Bacterial small subunit ribosomal RNA", at positions 524 to 776 of the family's 1533-position model. The record is from RNAcentral.